Molecule: long non-coding RNA, 1571 nt
Filed under: Prunus persica (peach)
Lineage: Eukaryota; Viridiplantae; Streptophyta; Magnoliopsida; Rosales; Rosaceae
Description: long non-coding RNA (PPER_LNC001010)
Source: RNAcentral
GUUUUGAGUGAAAUACAAUCCCUAGAACUAUACAAUACACCAACCACUCCAUUUCAGAACGAACUUCGUACGAACCUGAAUUGUCAACUUUCGUGGACCGAUCGAUAUCGGAUUGAGUCCAAAACUUGGGGAACAUCAUAAUAUUUUGGGAGGAGUCAUUUGGUACAUUUUGAGUGAAAUCCAACCUCUAGAACUAUACAAUGCACCAACCACCCCAUUUCAGAACGAAUUUCGUAGGAAACUGAAUUGUCCGAUUUUAAGGACCAAUUGAUAUCGGAUUGAGUCCAAAACUUGGGGAACUGUCGUGGGAGGAGUCAUUUGGUGGGUUUUGAGUGAAAUCCAAUCUCUAGAACUAUACAAUACACCAAUCACCCCAUUUCAGAACGAACUUCGUACGAAUAUGAAUUGUCCGAUUUCAAGGACCAAUCGAUAUCGGACAGAGUCCAAAAGUUGGGGAACGUCAUAAUAUCGUGGGAGGAGUCAUUUGGUGGGUUUUGAGUGAACUCCAAUCUCUAGACCUAUACAAUACACCAACCUCCUCAUUUCAGAACGAACUUCGUUCGAACAUGAAUUGUCCGAUUUCAAGGACCAAUUGAUAUCGGACUUAGUCCAAAACUUGGGGAACAUCAUAAUCUUGUGGGAGGAGUCAUUUGGUGGUUUUGAGUGAAAUCCAAUCCCUAGAACUAUACAAUACACCAACCACCCCAUUUCAGAAUGAACUUUCGUAGGAACCUGAAUUGUCCGAUUUCAAGGACCAAUCGAUAUCGGACUGAGUCCAAAAGUUGUGGAACAUAAUAAUAUUGUGGCAGGAGUCAUUUGGUGGGUUUUGAGUGAAAUCCAAUCUUUAGAAUUAUACAAUACACCAACCACCCCAUUUCAGAAUGAACUUCGUAGGAACCUGAAUUGUCCGAUUUCAAGGACCAAUCUAUAUCGGACAGAGUCCGAAAGUUGGGGAACAUCAUAAUAUUGUGGGAGGAGUCAUUUGGUGGGUUUUGAGUGAAAUCCAAUCUCUAGACCUAUACAAUACACCAACCUCCUCAUUUCAGAACGAACUUCGUACGAACUUGAAUUGUCCGAUUUCAAGGACCAAUUGAUAUCGGAUUGAGUCCAAAACUUGGGGAACAACAUAAUCUUGUGGGAGGAGUCAUUUGGUGGGUUUUGAGUGAAAACCAAUCUCUAGAACUAGACAAUACACCAACCACCCCAUUUCAGAAUGAACUUUGUAGGAACCUGAAUUGUCCGAUUUCAAGGACCAAUCGAUAUCAGAUUGAGUCCAAAACUUCGGGAACAUCAUAAUAUUGUGGGACGAGUCAUUUGGUAAGUUUUGAGUGAAAUAGAAUCCAAAGAACCAUACAAUACACCACCCACUCCAUUUCAGAACGAACUUCGUACGAACCUGAAUUGUCAAAUUUCGUGGACCGAUCGAUAUCGGAUUGAGUCCAAAACUUGGGAAGCAUCGAAAUCUUGUGGGAGGAGACAUUUGGUGGGUUUUGAGUGAAAUCCAAUCUCUAGAACUAUACAAUACACCAACCACCCUAUUUCAGAACGAACUUCGUACGAACCUGAAUUGU